Molecule: ribosomal RNA, 442 nt
Filed under: uncultured bacterium
Lineage: Bacteria
Description: partial 16S ribosomal RNA
Rfam family: Bacterial small subunit ribosomal RNA
Source: RNAcentral
CCUACGGGUGGCAGCAGUGGGGAAUAUUGGGCAAUGGACGAAAGCCUGACCCAGCAACGCCGCGUGAAGGAAGAAGGCUUUCGGGUUGUAAACUUCUUUUUACAGGGAAUAGCAGAAGACGGUACCUGUCGAUUAAUCCACGGCUAACUACGUGCCAGCAGCCGCGGUAAUACGUAGGUGGCAAGCGUUGUCCGGAUUUACUGGGUGUAACGGGCGUGUAGCCGGGCUGAUAAGUCAGAUGUGAAAUCCGGGGGCUCAACCCUCGAACUGCAUUUGAAACUGGUGGUCUUGAGUACUGGAGAGGCAGACGGAAUUCGUGGUGUAGCGGUGAAAUGCGUAGAUAUCAGGAGGAACACCAGUGGCGAAGGCGGCCUGCUGGACAGCAACUGACAGUGAGGCGCGAAAGCGUGGGGAGCAAACAGGAUUAGAUACCCGUGUAGUC